Molecule: small RNA, 107 nt
Filed under: Chelonoidis abingdonii (Abingdon island giant tortoise)
Lineage: Eukaryota; Metazoa; Chordata; Testudines; Testudinidae
Description: TUC338 (ENSCABG00000008924.1)
Source: RNAcentral
UUAUCCAUGGAACAGAUAUAAUAUGGGUAGCAGCAGUUCAAGUUUCCUCACACUGCCACAUCAGUACGUCUCAACCCUGACCUUGGAGGGACCAUCUCUAGGGUUGA